Long non-coding RNA from Phasianus colchicus (ring-necked pheasant), 4062 nucleotides. RefSeq lists it as uncharacterized. NCBI's taxonomy places the organism in Eukaryota, Metazoa, Chordata, Aves, Galliformes, Phasianidae. The record is from RefSeq and is a predicted model, not a curated record.
AUGCUAUUCUUUUUCAUAAGAGAUGAGCUUAUAAAGCUAGAUUAGCAGAUAUAAUCUAUGCUAAAUUGCUCAACUAGAGCAAACAAAAGAAGGUAUUUAUUGACAGCUGUGGUGAUGUUGCUGCUGUAGAUUCACCUGAAAAGAGGAGGCUCCUGUGAAUAGGGAAUGCAAUCCUAACUGUACUAACCAUGGAGUGGCACAAAAGCUUAGACGAAUGUUCCUUUCUGUUGCAUCUUUGAAGAUUAAUCACCACCACAAAUGAGAACUAAUGCAGUGUCAGAAAGGUGCUAAUCUGUCUGGCUGUUGGAGUAACCGUGCCAGACUCAAAGCUACAGUUACUGUUAAGUUCUGCUGAUGUGAUGCCUGGACCCAGAGCUGCAGGCAUCCUUUCACUGGGCUAUAAUGCUGCUGAAUGAGGAUUUACUGUUCUGAAAAGCCACACAAUGUGGCACUGGAGGGGCACCCUCUAAAUAAACUGUUCACUCCUGAACUUCAGGUUUUUUGUGCUGGCUUAACAAUUGUAUACCAAAUAGAUGCUAUAACUCCAACAGAACAAGUAAUCAUCUGAAAUGGUAACCAAGGGCACUACUUUCCUUAAUAUCAUUAAUUUGAAGUGCUGUUUGCAGAGGUGAGGGGAAAAAAAAAGCAUAUAUUUCUCUUUUGACUAAAUGUUAAGUAAAGGACUGAAAGUUCUAUCAAAGCAAAUACUUCAAUUUUAUUAACCAUAAUAAAAGAGAGUGGAAAAAAGUUAUAUAAAACUUGCUAGAACAUAGUUAUUGAACACUGCAGUUUCUAAUCUGGGCGAUAAAUGUAGGUCAAGGGAACUGGAAAAUCUAAUUACUCUGUAAAUUUUUAAACCUGUUUCUUUCAAGGAAAAGAAGAUUGUUCCCUUGCAUUUAUGCGUAUUUCACUCCACAUGUAACUACAGCUAGCUGGGGAGUUACUUCUGUCUGAACACAAAAAGGUUUUUGAACUUUCUUUAACAGUGUCUUUAUGUCUUGCAUGGUUUUCUCAGCUUUGGCUCGUGCUUGUUCUCAAGGUAACAUUGGUUAUUCCACAGCCAGCAUUACUGUUCUGUAAAUACCAGAGGCACCCUUCACGUUUAAAAGAAAAAAUAAAUAAGAAGCCAUCUCUAAAUAAAACUGACCUUUGGUACACCACUGUAGCAGUUCCUCUAGGUAACAUCCCAUACAACUGUAAUGUGAUACCUAGUGUUCAUACAGCGCGUUAACUAAGUAUGAGGCAAUGCAUCAUUACAGAGCUCCCGCUAAUAUGAAUGUGACAGCAUUGUAAAUGUUAAUUAUUUACUGAUGGUUUAACUGUUUCACAGAUCGUUGUUGCUGACUCCUGUGUCUAAACAGACUAUUACUUAUAGGAGGACCAAAUACUUUAAAAAACAUACAAAAAAUGUGAGGACUCGCACCAUUUGAAGAUUCCAAAAUCAAGGUCUAUUGAUUUUUUUUUUUUGGAAUCAUACAAACCUAGAAAGGUACCAUUUCAGGCAUUUAUUUCCCAGCCCAAUUAACCCUUUUAAAAGAAUAAAGGGGGGGAAAAAAGGAACUCCUUAAGCAAUCCUCCAAGAUCCAAUCACCAGAAUGCCCUGAGACUUCAAGUCUCAAGUCAUGUAUUCUCUUUGCUUCUACUCACAAAGGAUUGUGGGGUUUUUGUAUUGUUUUUCUAUUUGUUUGCUUGGUUUUACCCAUUAUGUAAAACAAAAGCCUAAUUACACAUAGGCAGAAGUUGGUGCUUCUAGAAAAACAGAGAGCCCCCCAAAAUCAUGGAACACUGUCACUGGAACAUGGAGCUGUCACUGUAUUUGAAGAUACGCAGAUGAGAAGAGGUAACUGCAGCCAGCUGACAUCUUGUAUUGACCAGCCCUUCGUGCAGAGUUCUCUUUGAUUCCUGCCUCUGUGAUACAUGAUGAAGAACCAUGGCGUUUCACAACAGAAGGAGGACUUGUAUGUUGUGCUCUGAUUUGGCAAUCAACACUUUGUUUGUUUUUGGGGGGUGGGGGAGUGAGCUGUACAAAAGCAGAAAACCUGGCCUCAGCUCAUCUGAUCUUUGGACGCUGCUCUCGUUAUGCAUAAAUCCUGCUUUUGACCUUCCUCCAACUGUGCUGGCAGGUAAAGACUCUCAGAUUUAAAAAAAAAAAAAACCAAAAAAAAAAACUCGAGAAGAGUCACAGCAGGGACUGAAACUAUAUUUGAUGUAAAAGGUAAGCUCCGAACAGCAGCUCAGAGAACACCCCCAAAUUGAGAUGAGUUUUGUGAAAGUGGUCUACAAUAAAAAGCAGACAAAUAUAUUUUUUUAAUGAUGUUAUUUUUAAUCUCUGCCAUUUAUGUGGAUGUAGGUGGCAAGGUUAAAUCUAAAAAACAGUGGUACAAAGACUAACUGCAGUAUUAAUUUAAUUGCGCUGUACCGCGCCUUGUUUUCUACAUUACAGGCAAGUUCACAAAUACAAGCAUUACAUACGUGCUUUCUGUCUCUUCCUUAGCAUUCUUGGAGGUUUUCUUUCAACCCUUUAACCUUUGAACUACUAAUUUGCGAUACUAAUGGGGUACUGGUCCUUCCCUUGCAAAAAUACAUAAAUAAUUCUGAUUAGAGAACCAUUAAAUCAUUACUAAGACUGUACACGGCCUGAGGUGUGACUGAUGACACAUAACAAUGAGACCUGGAUCUGCUCUGAAUGAGAAGGGAAAGAAAACCUCUAACCUUCCAGGCUAAUUGCUAGGUGCUUUUUAGAAUAAAACGUAUUCAUACAAGUAAAAUAAUGUGUAAAAAGCAAAUUAAAUUUGUUGUUUCUUAACCUUUGGGCAUUUGACUUUACAGCUUAUAACUUAUAAAAUAAUUCAAUAUAAUUUUGUUUUCCCACCUUUAUAUUCCAUAUUAUUUUCAAUUGUGAUGUUGCAUAGAACCAUCACGUUCAGUUUAAGCUCUGAAGAACAGUAGGUCCAAGUGUUGAUGAGAACCAGAAGGGACAGCAGUGAGGUACAGUCGUGCCUCAAAAUAGACACGGGUCCCACCUGUGGCAGGUCAGCAAGAGCGUAAAGUAACAAUAACCUUAAGAUGAAAAAGCAUUUGGAUUCUGGGGCAACAAAGCAGGUAGGAUGGAGACAUUGGUCCGAUCUGUAAGCACCAAGGUUUUUCUGCAUAUUCUGAACGUCGAGUAAGAUUCAGGUUAAGGAAAAUGCUUAUGGAGCAGCUCGGUUGGGUGACUGCCACAAGCAGAGGCACUCGUUGCCUUCUGCCUGCCGGUGCAGCUGGGAGCUCUGCUCAGCGCUACCAGGGCGCUGCAGGAAGGCGCCUGUCCCCGCUCUGCUUCUGGGCUGGGUUUUUGCAGGAUCCCACGGUCACACCGAAAGCAGCAGGGCCUGAGGGGAGGUGCGGGUGGGGUAUCAGGAAAAAUUUCUCAGAGUUUAGCUGCGCUGACACGGGCUGCGUAGGGAGGGGGUGGAGUCAGCUGUCCCUGGAGGCGUCCGAUCAACUCGUGGAUGCGGCGCUGAGGGCCGCGGUCAGCGGGCGCGGUGGGGAUGGGCUGACAAAAAGAUUAGCGGCCGUUUCCAGUCCUAAUGAUUCUAAGACUAGAUCGUAAAGAAGGCGUGCGGGCAGCAGACCAAAAGGCUGGGCCUUCUGUCUACUUCAGCUCCUGAAGCGCUAUCUUCACACACACAGUCUCACGCUGGCUGCCUGCCGUGCCGGCCCGCAGGUGCACCCCGCAGGGACAACACAGCACAACCUCAACGCGAGGGCGCGGAGCCGCUUCCUCCCGGCAGCCCCACAUCCCAGCGGGGCUCCAACCGGACAACCCAACCCCUUCGCCCGCCGCUUCGCCGUCAGCCCGCGGCGCUCAGGGCUCGCCCUGCCCCGCCCCCUCCGGGGCCGCCGCCGCUCCCCUCAGUCCCCGCGGGUGACUAAGCACGCCGCCGUGACCGACCCUUUACCUUCCCUCCCGCCCCUGUGCCCCGCCCGCCGCCACGGACCGCCCCUCCUCCUUCCCUCCCGUCGCUGCGCCUGCGCGGUGCGGCGCGGCGCGCGCGGGCGCAGGAAUGUGCGUUCCAGUUA